GAGACCAGUGAGGAGAGUGAGUCAUGAACCGAGGAACACGAUACUUAAUCCAAUGCUGUUGACCUGGGGUCUAAA
Molecule: small nucleolar RNA, 75 nt
Filed under: Pteropus vampyrus (large flying fox)
Lineage: Eukaryota; Metazoa; Chordata; Mammalia; Chiroptera; Pteropodidae
Description: Small nucleolar RNA SNORD112 (ENSPVAG00000029930.1)
Source: RNAcentral